RNAcentral lists this long non-coding RNA (619 nucleotides) under Canis lupus familiaris (dog). RNAcentral's name for it is "lncRNA (ENSCAFG00000054173.1)". Lineage: Eukaryota; Metazoa; Chordata; Mammalia; Carnivora; Canidae. The record is from RNAcentral.
ACAAUUUGACCUACCAACCUUUUUAGGUUAGUGUAGGUUGGUGUUCAAUAUUGAGGUUUCUAUGACAGAUGUCAUAAAUGGCUUCAUUGUCUACUGUGAAGGCACAGAAUGCCCCAGGGUGGUGUGGGUGGUGAGAGUGAAGUUAUAGGGCUCAACUACAGCUCUGGAAACCUGGAGGGCUGGGUAAAUGGAAAACUCUAGCUUGGACUUCUUGCCAUAAUCAACAGAGAGACAUUCUAUUAGCAGGGAGGUGAGCUGGGAACCAGUUCCUCCUCCAAAGCUGUGGAAAACCAAGAAGCCCUGAAGACCUGUGCACUGGUCAGCCAGUUUCUGAAUUUGGUUCAAGACAAGAUUGUAGUUUCAUCAAGGCAGGAACCAGGUGGAUCUUGCCCAUGGUUUAUGUCUGAGGCUUUGGACACUGCCCUAUACAACAUAAGUUUUACUUUGUGUGAAAUACCACGCUGAACAUUGGUGACCUGGAGAUAUAGAAGAAGGUGUGCAGCUAGACUGUGGAACAGCUCUCAGAAGCUCACAUUUAAAUGUGGGAUGAUAUGGAGGCUCCAGGUAAAAUAUUUGUCUGGUUCGGAGCAUGGGUUUCUCAUCAUAAUUCAGUGAAGGU